UACGUAGGGUGCAAGCGUUAAUCGGAAUUACUGGGCGUAAAGCGUGCGCAGGCGGUUGGGCAAGACAGAUGUGAAAUCCCCGGGCUUAACCUGGGAACUGCAUUUGUGACUGCACGGCUGGAGUGCGGCAGAGGGGGAUGGAAUUCCGCGUGUAGCAGUGAAAUGCGUAGAUAUGCGGAGGAACACCGAUGGCGAAGGCAAUCCCCUGGGCCUGCACUGACGCUCAUGCACGAAAGCGUGGGGAGCAAACAGG
RNAcentral lists this ribosomal RNA (253 nucleotides) under uncultured bacterium. RNAcentral's name for it is "partial 16S ribosomal RNA". It matches the Rfam family "Bacterial small subunit ribosomal RNA", at positions 524 to 776 of the family's 1533-position model. The record is from RNAcentral.